GUUUUACAUGUUUGUCAUGUUGGGUUUCAUUUCCUGUUAAUGGAUUUGACAGAUGUCUGGGAAUCAAUGACGUAAUUGAAGAUAAAACCAAAGAAUGAUUAAUAAAUUGAAACGAAUUAAGUUUUGCGACUAAUCUGAACAGAAGUGAUAAAUUAACUUCACAUAUUGAUGCUUUUCUCCUCUGCUUUAGUGGUUAGUUUAAGUUGGAAAUGUACUGGCUCAAAGCAUACCUCCAGUAGCAAACUUUUUUUAAUGUUGUAACUAAAAUGCUGUUGCCUUUGUCUUGUCACGUAUCAUUUCAACAUAACUUUGUUCUGUAUCAUGUCCUCAUGAUUAACAUUAAACUAAUUAAAUUAUUGUGGUACAGUUGUAUGCUGAUU
RNAcentral lists this unclassified non-coding RNA (380 nucleotides) under Hevea brasiliensis (rubber tree). Lineage: Eukaryota; Viridiplantae; Streptophyta; Magnoliopsida; Malpighiales; Euphorbiaceae. The record is from RNAcentral.